AACCUAGCACACCUGCGGUGUGUACCUGCGGAGGGAUCAUUAAAAAAAUCCUUUUUGCCCGCGGACUUUGCUCCAAGGCGCAAAAAACCCACACUGUGUGCACCGUUAUCGUUUCUUUGGCAGGGGCUUGGGGUGGUUUUUUCCGCCUCAACUUCUCCUCCGGCUCUAUCUCUUUUUUUUUGGGACAGCUGGACAUGGGAAGCAGUUUACCCUGCCAAGUAACCCUUUAAAUCACGCUUG
RNAcentral lists this unclassified non-coding RNA (240 nucleotides) under soil metagenome. RNAcentral describes it as "partial contains 5.8S ribosomal RNA, internal transcribed spacer 2, and large subunit ribosomal RNA". The record is from RNAcentral.